Molecule: ribosomal RNA, 389 nt
Filed under: uncultured bacterium
Lineage: Bacteria
Description: bacterial SSU rRNA
Rfam family: Bacterial small subunit ribosomal RNA
Source: RNAcentral
CUUCGGCCUUAGUGGCGCGACGGGUGCGUAACGCGUGGGGACCUCGCCCCUCGGUUCGGAAUAACAGUUAGAAUGACUGCUAAUACCGGAUGAUGACUUCGGUCCAAAGAUUUAUCGCCGAGGGAUGGGCCCGCGUAGGAUUAGCUAGUUGGUGGGGUAAAGGCCUACCAAGGCGACGAUCCUUAGCUGGUCUGAGAGGAUGAUCAGCCACACUGGGACUGAGACACGGCCCAGACUCCUACGGGAGGCAGCAGUGGGGAAUAUUGGACAAUGGGCGAAAGCCUGAUCCAGCAAUGCCGCGUGAGUGAUGAAGGCCUUAGGGUUGUAAAGCUCUUUUACCAGGGAUGAUAAUGACAGUACCUGGAGAAUAAGCUCCGGCUAACUCCGUG